CCUACGGGGGGCUGCAGUGGGGAAUAUUGGACAAUGGGGGCAACCCUGAUCCAGCCAUGCCGCGUGUGUGAAGAAGGCCCUCGGGUUGUAAAGCACUUUCAGUGAGGAAGAACGCCUGGUGGUUAAUACCCAUCAGGAAAGACAUCACUCACAGAAGAAGCACCGGCUAACUCCGUGCCAGCAGCCGCGGUAAUACGGAGGGUGCGAGCGUUAAUCGGAAUUACUGGGCGUAAAGCGCGCGUAGGUGGCUUGAUAAGCCGGUUGUGAAAGCCCCGGGCUCAAACUGGGAACGGCAUCCGGAACUGUCAAGCUAGAGUGCAGGAGAGGAAGGUAGAAUUCCCGGUGUAGCGGUGAAAUGCGUAGAGAUCGGGAGGAAUACCAGUGGCGAAGGCGGCCUUCUGGACUGACACUGACACUGAGGUGCGAAAGCGUGGGUAGCAAACAGGAUUAGCUACCCUAGUAGUC
Molecule: ribosomal RNA, 465 nt
Filed under: Vreelandella stevensii
Lineage: Bacteria; Pseudomonadati; Pseudomonadota; Gammaproteobacteria; Oceanospirillales; Halomonadaceae
Description: partial 16S ribosomal RNA
Rfam family: Bacterial small subunit ribosomal RNA
Source: RNAcentral